Molecule: long non-coding RNA, 565 nt
Filed under: Lathyrus oleraceus (garden pea)
Lineage: Eukaryota; Viridiplantae; Streptophyta; Magnoliopsida; Fabales; Fabaceae
Description: Pisum sativum (pea) long non-coding RNA (PSAT_LNC021916)
Source: RNAcentral
CAUUUAACACAAGAGAAAAUGUGACAACUACGAAACACAGUUAUACCUUCGAUGUCUGUAGUAAUUUGAAAAAGUAAGAAAACUGAACGUAUUAGUGUCGGUGUCUGACAGAGACACAAACACAUCUUUAUUCAGAGGUAUCAGACACAGACACCAGACACAACAUCAACACUAACACUUCGAUGUUUGUAGUAAUUUGAAAAAGUAAGUAAACUGAACGUGUUAGUGUCGGUGUCUGACAUAGACACAUACACGUCUUUAUCAGAGAUAUAGACACAGACACCAGACACAACAUCAACACUAACACUUCGUGUUUGUAGUAAUUUGAAAAAGUAAGUAAACUGAACGUGUUAGUGUCGGUGUCUGACAUAGACACAUACACGUCUUUAUUCAGAGAUAUAGACACAGACAGACACAACAUCAACACUAACACUUCGAUGUUUGUAGUAAUUUGAAAAAGUAAUAAACUGAACGUGUUAGUGUCGGUGUCUGCAUAGAACAUACACGUCUUUAUUCAGAGAUAUCAGACACAGACACCAGACACAACAUCAACACUAACACUUCG